RNAcentral lists this transfer RNA (74 nucleotides) under Planctomyces sp. SH-PL62. It matches the Rfam family "tRNA". Rfam says of the family: Transfer RNA (tRNA) molecules are approximately 80 nucleotides in length. Their secondary structure includes four short double-helical elements and three loops (D, anti-codon, and T loops). Further hydrogen bonds mediate the characteristic L-shaped molecular structure. tRNAs have two regions of fundamental functional importance: the anti-codon, which is responsible for specific mRNA codon recognition, and the 3' end, to which the tRNAs corresponding amino acid is attached (by aminoacyl-tRNA synthetases). tRNAs cope with the degeneracy of the genetic code in two manners: having more than one tRNA (with a specific anti-codon) for a particular amino acid; and 'wobble' base-pairing, i.e. permitting non-standard base-pairing at the 3rd anti-codon position. Lineage: Bacteria; Pseudomonadati; Planctomycetota; Planctomycetia; Planctomycetales; Planctomycetaceae. RNAcentral also lists the same sequence under 2 other names. The record is from Rfam by way of RNAcentral.
CGGGGCGUAGCGCAGCCUGGUAGCGCGCCUGCCUUGGGAGCAGGAGGUCAUGGGUUCGAAUCCCGUCGCCCCGA